Non-coding RNA from Pelobates cultripes (western spadefoot toad), 269 nucleotides. The record is from the annotation of a GenBank genome assembly. Lineage: Eukaryota; Metazoa; Chordata; Amphibia; Anura; Pelobatidae.
GGCCCAUGCUGCCCCCUCUGGGGCUACUUCAGUCAUGGCUGUCCCACUCUCUGGUUCCCCUGUCCCACUCUCUGGUUCCCCUGUCCCAUCUACUAAUAUUCCAGGGUUGCUCCCCCCUACUGUGCGUCCUCCAGCACCUGGGAUGGGUGGGCAGGGUUUUUUCUCACCUGUCCUGUCUUCACAGAUUCUUCCAGGUCAGCUCGCGAACCGGUUCCCUGACGCUGUGUCUGGUGCGGUGCUUCCUGCGGUCGCAGUUCCCUCGGGGCCGU